RNAcentral lists this ribosomal RNA (415 nucleotides) under uncultured microorganism. RNAcentral describes it as "bacterial SSU rRNA". It matches the Rfam family "Archaeal small subunit ribosomal RNA", at positions 330 to 745 of the family's 1478-position model. The record is from RNAcentral.
GUGCACCAGUCGCGAAACCUCCGCAAUGCGGGAAACCGUGACGGGGUCACCCCGAGUGCCACCCGAUGAGGGUGGCUUUUCCCCGGUCUAAAAAGCCGGGGGCAAUAAGCGGGGGGCAAGUCUGGUGUCAGCCGCCGCGGUAAUACCAGCCCCGCGAGUGGUCGGGACGUUUAUUGGGCCUAAAAGCGUCCGUAGCCGGCUCGGUAAGUCCCUCCUUAAAUCCACGGGCUCAACCCGUGGGCUGGGAGGGAUACUGCCGGGCUAGGGGGCGGGAGAGGCCGAGGGUACUCCCGGGGUAGGGGCGAAAUCCGUUAAUCCCGGGAGGACCACCAGUGGCGAAGGCGCUCGGCUGGAACGCGCCCGACGGUGAGGGACGAAAGCUGGGGGAGCAAAGGGGAUUAGAUACCCGGGUAGU